RNAcentral lists this small nuclear RNA (82 nucleotides) under Bison bison bison. RNAcentral describes it as "U4 spliceosomal RNA (ENSBBBG00000015544.1)". It matches the Rfam family "U4 spliceosomal RNA". Rfam says of the family: U4 small nuclear RNA (U4 snRNA) is a component of the major U2-dependent spliceosome. The structure of U4 snRNA from yeast and human has been reported. Lineage: Eukaryota; Metazoa; Chordata; Mammalia; Artiodactyla; Bovidae. The record is from RNAcentral.
AGUUUUGUGGAGUGGCAGUCUCAUAGCCAGUGGGGUCUCUCUGAGGCAGGAUCAUCGCUAAUUGAAAACUUUUCCAACAGAA